This is a non-coding RNA of Drosophila suzukii, 641 nucleotides long. NCBI's taxonomy places the organism in Eukaryota, Metazoa, Arthropoda, Insecta, Diptera, Drosophilidae. The record is from RefSeq and is a predicted model, not a curated record.
AAAAUUAAGAGAUUAUUAUUAGAGUUUAUUUAUGGGUCUUAAACUAGGUUCUGCUUGGUUAUUAUAUUAUAUCUUGAGUUGAUUUUGAAAAUGUAUUCAUAUCUUUUGGUUCUGUAUAUACCUUCCCAUAUACCUUCCCUACUUUGCACCUUUAACUUAACCGAAUUUCAAAAACAAUUCUUUUCACACUUCGUGUGUACACAGAGUAGAAAGCCCCUGAAUAUUCCAAAGAAUCGGCAUGAACAUUUCGAAAAAUAAUCAGGCAAACUGGGCAGCAGCGAAAUUGAAAUGAAACCAUGAAAAUUCAAAAACACACAGGCCAAAGCGAAAAACGAUGGCAAAUACAAAAAUAUAAAUAAUAAAACGAGCGGAAAAAUCACUUUUGGACUAUGCAGAUAUACUUGGCGUAUACUUUAUAUAAGGGUUCUUUGGUUUUGCGACUUAUCGGCUACUCCAAAACGAAAUCCUGUGGAUAAACAAAGGCGACAGAGCCAUAAAGAGCACGGAUUACAAGGCACGAUUGUUUAUGGUUUGUAUGUAUGUCUGGGUGUACGAAUUCGAAUAUAUGUAUAUAUAUUUUUUUUUCGAUUUUUUUUGCUUUUACCACAUUUGGCUAACGAUACGAGGCAAAAAACCCAGAC